This 468-nucleotide ribosomal RNA is filed under the name uncultured bacterium. RNAcentral's name for it is "partial 16S ribosomal RNA". It matches the Rfam family "Bacterial small subunit ribosomal RNA", at positions 28 to 507 of the family's 1533-position model. The record is from RNAcentral.
GACGAACGCUGGCGGCGUGCUUAACACAUGCAAGUCGAACGGAAAGGCCCUGCUUUUGUGGGGUGCUCGAGUGGCGAACGGGUGAGUAACACGUGAGUAACCUGCCCUUGACUUUGGGAUAACUUCAGGAAACUGGGGCUAAUACCGGAUAGGAGCUCCUGCUGCAUGGUGGGGGUUGGAAAGUUUCGGCGGUUGGGGAUGGACUCGCGGCUUAUCAGCUUGUUGGGGGGGUAGUGGCUUACCAAGGCUUUGACGGGUAGCCGGCCUGAGAGGGUGACCAGCCACAUUGGGACUGAGAUACGGCCCAGACUCCUACGGGAGGCAGCAGUGGGGAAUAUUGCACAAUGGGCGGAAGCCUGAUGCAGCAACGCCGCGUGCGGGAUGACGGCCUUCGGGUUGUAAACCGCUUUCGCCUGUGACGAAGCGUGAGUGACGGUAAUGGGUAAAGAAGCACCGGCUAACUACGUG